Molecule: long non-coding RNA, 971 nt
Filed under: Malus domestica (apple)
Lineage: Eukaryota; Viridiplantae; Streptophyta; Magnoliopsida; Rosales; Rosaceae
Description: long non-coding RNA (MDOM_LNC018120)
Source: RNAcentral
CAACUCUUGAAAGUUUGUAAUUAUGUUUAGAACAUAAUGGUUGGUUGACAAAAAUAGUCCAUCACAUGGACUUAUGAUGAUUUUGAAUCAUUGAGUGUUGAAGUGUUAAACCACUUCUAGAGACGGAAACUAAGCAAGGACUUCACCUUUGUGUCCCUAUCCAAAUGGUUCACUAAGUUUAUUGUAAACUAUAUAGUGAACAAUAACCACACACUCUCCAAAUCGUUGGAUGUGUAUAACACAAUUGAAAUAAGUUUCAAGAGAGAUAGUGGGAGUUUAGGGACCAUGACUAUUGUAGUCAAAGGAGAAGUCAAAUAAAGAAAGGGAAAUAACUCCAAGGGAACAAACUUUCUUUAUGAAAGGAUGGACAUUGGAAGGGGUAUUUGCAAGAAAUGUCUUGCAAGUGUCAAGAACACACCUUUCGAAUGUGUUGUAAAUUGUUCUUGAAUAGUUCAAAACAGUUGGUUCUUCUACUUGAAUGCUUGAUUCCGUAUUAGUAACUAUGUUUUACAAUCGUUGUAAAAGUGUGACUAAUAAGAAGUAGAAGAUAUAUGAGAGAAGAAAAAGGUGCUUCACAUUUGGAACGUGAAUAAAAUAUAGAUCUCUGCGAAAGCAGAUAGUACUUACUUCCUCAUAUGAACUACCAAAGAAAUUGGAAAAACCAAAGAUUGUCUUUACAUUCCAAUUUUAAGGAACUUAAUUCCGUCACUAUAGUAGAGAUGGAUGAAUGUUUUGUUUGACAAAACAUUGUUCCUUAUUAAUCAAUGAUUGGAUUAUAGUAAUCUAAUUGAUUGUCUCUAUAGUAGAGAUAAUGUGGUAGUGUUAACUGUUUAGAAUAUAAGGAUGCUUAAAACUCAAAAGGUUGCAAGAUAGUGACUAAUCCCAACUGAGUUGUGAUACCUCUAAAAACAUAAAAUACGAGUUGGUCAUAGAUGGAUGCUUUGGAUCGUUAGAUUCGGAUCCAAUACCUU